AAGUGGAGCAAUCCAUGAGUAUAGUGGCGACCGGGUGAGUAACACGUGACUACCUGCCCUUGAGUGGGGGAUAACCUCGGGAAACCGAGGCUAAUACCGCAUAAUAUCGCAAGAUCAAAGGAGCAAUCCGCUUUUGGAGGGGGUCGCGGCUGAUUAGCUAGUUGGUGAGGUAAUGGCUCACCAAGGCGAAGAUCGGUAUCCGGCCUGAGAGGGCGCACGGACACACUGGAACUGAAACACGGUCCAGACUCCUACGGGAGGCAGCAGUGGGGAAUUUUGCGCAGUGGGGGAAACCCUGACGCAGCAACGCCGCGUGGAGGAUGAAGCCCCUUGGG
This 335-nucleotide ribosomal RNA is filed under the name uncultured bacterium. RNAcentral's name for it is "bacterial SSU rRNA". It matches the Rfam family "Bacterial small subunit ribosomal RNA", at positions 72 to 422 of the family's 1533-position model. The record is from RNAcentral.